GGGUUGUGAGGUUAAGCGACUAAGCGUACACGGUGGAUGCCCUGGCAGUCAGAGGCGAUGAAGGACGUGCUAAUCUGCGAUAAGCGUCGGUAAGGUGAUAUGAACCGUUAUAACCGGCGAUUUCCGAAUGGGGAAACCCAGUGUGUUUCGACACACUAUCAUUACGUGAAUACAUAGCGUAAUGAAGCGAACCGGGGGAACUGAAACAUCUAAGUACCCCGAGGAAAA
Molecule: ribosomal RNA, 228 nt
Filed under: Citrobacter freundii
Lineage: Bacteria; Pseudomonadati; Pseudomonadota; Gammaproteobacteria; Enterobacterales; Enterobacteriaceae
Description: partial 23S ribosomal RNA
Rfam family: Bacterial large subunit ribosomal RNA
Source: RNAcentral